AUUUUAGCACACUUUUGUUGAUGCAAAUGAUCACACCAUUUCUGGGAAUUUCUUUCGACGAAUUGGAGACUGGCAACAUGCUCGAGGUGACGCCUGGGACCGCAAGGCUCACAUCUGGCACAUUUUCGACAAUUCUGACGAACCCCAAGAAACUCUAAUCGGCAACUUGAAACGCGGGUUUGGUAACAAGUCAUACAGAUUGGCUGACAAGAUUGACGGCGUGACUCGACUAGUAAAAGGCAUCUUUGGACAAGUAAUCGGAAGUAUCGUAACUAAAAGCCGGAAUGAGAAUAAGAAACGAGCAUCCCAUCCCAUUCCAAGUCUAACCACCCCAACAAACCCUCAACCAGCACCUACAGUUCCAACUGGAGGCCCGUACUUCCCAACUACAUUUGUUUCAACAAGUUUGACUCCAAGCGCUCAACCUCCAAACAUAAAUUCAAUGUUCAAUCCUGAAAACAUUCCAUUCCCUCCAGGAACGACUGUUAAAGGAGAAAUUCCAGCUCCUAGAUAUAGCAUCGGAAAAUUGGUGUUCAUUGACAAUGAAGGAAAGUCUAUGGAUCUGACUCUUAAACAGGUCGUUGAUAUUGGAAAGUAUUUUGAUCGGAUGUUGAAAGAGUUUAAUUGAAUUGUUAUGUGAUUUCUUUCAAUAAAUAUUAUUCACUAUCUA
Long non-coding RNA from Cotesia glomerata, 670 nucleotides. RefSeq lists it as uncharacterized. The transcript has 3 exons. NCBI's taxonomy places the organism in Eukaryota, Metazoa, Arthropoda, Insecta, Hymenoptera, Braconidae. The record is from RefSeq and is a predicted model, not a curated record.